AUGGUUGUGGCUUAGUGGUAGAGCGUGCGCCUAGCAUGUGCAAAGCCUUGGGUUCAAUCCUCAGCACCACA
Non-coding RNA from Ictidomys tridecemlineatus (thirteen-lined ground squirrel), 71 nucleotides. The record is from Rfam. NCBI's taxonomy places the organism in Eukaryota, Metazoa, Chordata, Mammalia, Rodentia, Sciuridae.